GUGGGGAAUUUUGGACAAUGGGCGAAAGCCUGAUCCAGCAAUGCCGCGUGCAGGAUGAAGGCCCUCGGGUUGUAAACUGCUUUUGUACGGAACGAAAAGCCUGGGGCUAAUAUACCCGGUUGGGAUGACGGUACCCAAAGAAUAAGCACCGGCUAACUUCGUGCCAGCAGCCGCGGUAAUACGAAGGGUGCAAGCGUUACUCGGAAUUACUGGGCGUAAAGCGUGCGGAGGUGGGUAUUUAAGUCCGUUGUGAAAGCCCGGGGCUCAACCUGGGAAGUGCAGUGGAUACUGGAUGACUAGAAUGUGGUAGAGGGUAGCGGAAUUCCUGGUGUAGCAGUGAAAUGCGUAGAGAUCAGGAGGAACAUCCAUGGCGAAGGCAGCUACCUGGACCAACAUUGACACUGAGGCACGAAAGCGUGGGGAGCAAACAGGAUUAGAUACCCUAGUAGUCC
RNAcentral lists this ribosomal RNA (452 nucleotides) under uncultured Stenotrophomonas sp. RNAcentral's name for it is "bacterial SSU rRNA". It matches the Rfam family "Bacterial small subunit ribosomal RNA", at positions 354 to 796 of the family's 1533-position model. The record is from RNAcentral. Lineage: Bacteria; Pseudomonadati; Pseudomonadota; Gammaproteobacteria; Lysobacterales; Lysobacteraceae.